CGACGAUUCUUGAUAAAUGUUUGUUUGUUUAUUUUGAUAUGUUUUGCAUUACUCAUACUAUGUGGCUCAUAAAUAAAUCAAACAAAACAUUGCCUUAAACAACAUUUGAAUAUGAAUAUAUAUAUAUAAUCAUAAUAAUUAUGUUAUUCUUUCUCAAAAGACCAGCUGCAGGGAUGGUGUUUCUCGAAGCUAUCUUAGGAUUAGGACGUGUCCUAAGACCAUCUUAUGACAAGUCUUUGUCUUAAGUCGUGUUCUCGAAGCUCUCUUAACUUAGGAUAUAUCACAUUGUUCGUCCUAACUUUAGGACAUCUAAUUAAGUGUCUUAAGAUCAUCAUAUCUUCAUCCUAACUUUUUGAAGCUUUUCUCAUUUUUACGUGAAGAUGAACAUGAAAUGAAACGCACUAUCGGUUAUUAACUCGUAUACAGAAAUUGUG
This 434-nucleotide long non-coding RNA is filed under the name Mytilus galloprovincialis (Mediterranean mussel). The record is from RNAcentral. Lineage: Eukaryota; Metazoa; Mollusca; Bivalvia; Mytilida; Mytilidae.